GACGAACGCUGGCGGCGUGCUUAACACAUGCAAGUCGAGCGGUAAGGCCCUUUCAGGGGUACACGAGCGGCGAACGGGUGAGUAACACGUGGGUGACCUGCCCUCAGCUCUGGGAUAAGCCUGGGAAACUGGGUCUAAUACCGGAUAUGACUCCAUGACGCAUGUUGUGGGGUGGAAAGCCUUGUGCGGCUGAGGAUGGGCCCGCGGCCUAUCAGCUUGUUGGUGGGGUGAUGGCCUACCAAGGCGACGACGGGUAGCCGGCCUGAGAGGGCGACCGGCCACACUGGGACUGAGACACGGCCCAGACUCCUACGGGAGGCAGCAGUGGGGAAUCUUGCGCAAUGGGCGAAAGCCUGACGCAGCGACGCCGCGUGAGGGAUGACGGCCU
Molecule: ribosomal RNA, 388 nt
Filed under: uncultured bacterium
Lineage: Bacteria
Description: bacterial SSU rRNA
Rfam family: Bacterial small subunit ribosomal RNA
Source: RNAcentral